GAUGAACGCUGACAGAAUGCUUAACACAUGCAAGUCAACUUGAACUUCGGUUUGGGUGGCGGACGGGUGAGUAACGCGUAAAGAACUUGCCUCACAGCUAGGGACAACAUUUGGAAACGAAUGCUAAUACCUGAUAUUAUGAUUAUAUGGCAUCGUAUAAUUAUGAAAGCUAUAUGCGCUGUGAGAGAGCUUUGCGUCCCAUUAGCUAGUUGGAGAGGUAACAGCUCACCAAGGCGAUGAUGGGUAGCCGGCCUGAGAGGGUGAUCGGCCACAAGGGGACUGGGACACGGCCCUUACUCCUACGGGAGGCAGCAGUGGGGAAUAUUGGACAAUGGACCGAGAGUCUGAUCCAGCAAUUCUGUGUGCACGAUGAAGUUUUUCGGAAUGUAAAGUGCUUUCAGUUGGGAAGAAAAAAAUGACGGUACCAACAGAAGAAGUGACGGCUAAAUACGUG
Molecule: ribosomal RNA, 454 nt
Filed under: uncultured bacterium
Lineage: Bacteria
Description: partial 16S ribosomal RNA
Rfam family: Bacterial small subunit ribosomal RNA
Source: RNAcentral